Talpa occidentalis (Iberian mole) is the source of this 667-nucleotide long non-coding RNA. RefSeq lists it as uncharacterized. The record is from RefSeq and is a predicted model, not a curated record. NCBI's taxonomy places the organism in Eukaryota, Metazoa, Chordata, Mammalia, Eulipotyphla, Talpidae. The transcript has 5 exons.
UUUGCUGAAAAUGCUCUUUAUUUCUGGAUAGCAAUCUGGUCUUAAUCACUCCCCCCCAUACAAAUGUAUAACAUAUUCUCUAUUAUACCAUGGGUGAUACACCCAGGGAAAUUUUCACAGAUGUCUCUGAGGGGACGUAUGGAGGACAGGAGGGGACACCCCAGACCCUGCAAACCUGACUGCUGUAAAUAGGUUCUGCCAUCCACUGCAUCAAUACAAAAGGAAUCCACAACCCGAACCAGAACUGGUUUAACAAGAAUCUCAGCUGUGGAACCAGAACUGAUUUAACAAGAAUCUCAGCUUUGUGAGGUCACACAUCUGCCAUUAUGACCAGGAGACUAAAAUGGAGAAUGAAGUACGAACGACAAUCAGAUGAAAUGGAGUGUUGGGGGAUAGAAGAAAAACAAUUGGUGUGCAAGAAAAUAACCCCCUGGAAAGCUAACAAUUCCACUGAGAAGCAAAAGGACUUUGAUUGCUGGAAACAUCAAGAGAUGACAUUGGUUUACAACAAAGCAGGCGUUAAAGGAAAGAGGAAGGCUUCAGCAAAACCUGGCCUCUUCCUGAGGGAAAAGUAAGCACAAUUAGGGGCUUUGAUGGAAUAAAAAGAAAAAAAAAUCUGUCGCUGUUUGUGGGAAGCAAGCAGAGAGUGAAACUGGUCUUGCGUCAA